This 587-nucleotide ribosomal RNA is filed under the name uncultured bacterium. RNAcentral describes it as "partial 16S ribosomal RNA". It matches the Rfam family "Bacterial small subunit ribosomal RNA", at positions 355 to 1375 of the family's 1533-position model. The record is from RNAcentral.
UGGGGAAUUUUGGACAAUGGGCGAAAGCCUGAUCCAGCAAUGCCGCGUGUGUGAAGAAGGCCUUCGGGUUGUAAAGCACUUUUGUCCGGAAAGAAAUCCUUGGCUCUAAUACAGUCGGGGGAUGACGGUACCGGAAGAAUAAGCACCGGCUAACUACGUGCCAGCAGCCGCGGUAAUACGUAGGGUGCAAGCGUUAAUCGGAAUUACUGGGCGUAAAGCGUGCGCAGGCGGUCUGCUAAGACCGAUGUGAAAUCCCCGGGCUCAACCUGGGAACUGCAUUGGUGACUGGCAGGCUAGAGUAUGGCAGAGGGGGGUAGAAUUCCACGUGUAGCAGUGAAAUGCGUAGAGAUGUGGAGGAAUACCGAUGGCGAAGGCAGCCCCCUGGGCCAAUACUGACGCUCAUGCACGAAAGCGUGGGGGAGCAAAACAGGAUUAGAUACCCUGGUAGUCCACGCCCUAAACGAUGUCAACUAGUUGUUGGGGAUUCAUUUCCUUAGUAACGUAGCUAACGCGUGAAGUUGACCGCCUGGGGAGUACGGUCGCAAGAUUAAAACUCAAAUGAAUUGACGGGGUCAUAGCUGUUUCCU